Molecule: long non-coding RNA, 441 nt
Filed under: Setaria viridis
Lineage: Eukaryota; Viridiplantae; Streptophyta; Magnoliopsida; Poales; Poaceae
Description: long non-coding RNA (SVIR_LNC002171)
Source: RNAcentral
GAGCAUGUUGAUGUGGUGUUAGUUAAGGGAGAUGUAACUAUGUCAAAUUAAAGUUUGUUAGGGGAAUGAUAUGAUGGUAAUGAAGCUGGAACUUGUCUGACAGCAUAGACGUUGUGGAAGAAUUAUAUAAUGAAUGAAAGAGCAUCUAGAUCCCUAAUUCGGUUUUGACGAGUAACAACAAUAUGAUCAUUGUGACAAAAAUGUGUUUUGUAGCGACAUUCUCACACUUAGUGCAAUGAUGGGUUUUCAUUGGUUCAAAGGAUAUGCAUGAAGGCUAAAGGUAAGCUUUUUUCAAGUGUUGUUUAGAGUUGAGAGACAUUGGAAUAGUUUUAGGUCUUUAUUUUCCUUUGGCCGUACAAUAAUUGUAGUAGCUUGACCUAGAUGGGCUCUAGAGUUAGGUGUGAUGCAUACUUGUAAAAACAAGCACUAGGUAGCUUAGUU